This 252-nucleotide ribosomal RNA is filed under the name uncultured bacterium. RNAcentral's name for it is "partial 16S ribosomal RNA". It matches the Rfam family "Bacterial small subunit ribosomal RNA", at positions 524 to 776 of the family's 1533-position model. The record is from RNAcentral.
UACGGAGGAUGCGAGCGUUAUCCGGAUUUAUUGGGUUUAAAGGGUGCGUAGGCGGGAUGCCAAGUCAGCGGUAAAAAUGCGGUGCUCAACGCCGUCGAGGCGUUGAAACUGGCGUUCUUGAGUGGGCGAGAAGUAUGCGGAAUGCGUGGUGUAGCGGUGAAAUGCAUAGAUAUCACGCAGAACUCCGAUUGCGAAGGCAGCAUACCGGCGCCCUACUGACGCUGAGGCACGAAAGCGUGGGUAUCGAACAGG